This 439-nucleotide ribosomal RNA is filed under the name uncultured bacterium. RNAcentral describes it as "partial 16S ribosomal RNA". It matches the Rfam family "Bacterial small subunit ribosomal RNA", at positions 339 to 795 of the family's 1533-position model. The record is from RNAcentral.
CUACGGGUUGCAGCAGUGGGGAAUCUUGCACAAUGGAGGAAACUCUGAUGCAGCGAUGCCGCGUGAGUGAAGAAGGCCCUUGGGUUGUAAAGCUCUUUUGUCGGGAAAGAUAAUGACUGUACCCGAAGAAUAAGGUCCGGCUAACUUCGUGCCAGCAGCCGCGGUAAUACGAAGGGACCUAGCGUAAUUCGGAAUUACUGGGCGUAAAGCGCGCGUAGGCGGUUAAGUAAGUUAAUUGUGAAAGCCCAAAGCUCAACUUUGGAAUUGCAAUUAAAACUACUUAGCUAGAGUUUAUCAGAGGAAAGCGGAAUAAAUAGUGUAGAGGUGAAAUUCGUAGAUAUUAUGUAGAACACCAGUUGCGAAGGCGGCUUUCUGGGAUAACACCGACGCUGAGGUGCGAAAGUAUGGGUAGCGAAGAGGAUUAGAUACCCUGGUAGUC